UUUCUGGGACUGCCGUUGGAUUCGAACAUGGUACCUGCCUAAGAAGGCGGUUCGGGGUUCUGCCGCAUUGGCUCCAACAGCCUACGAGCAGAAGGGCACAAACAGCAGGGGAACUAAUGCUCAUGUGACCGAAUAGCGCAGCUCCCAGGACAAAAGGGGAUCUUCCCGUUAAUUCUACCCAACACUUCAGGGGAAGUAGAUGUUACUGGGAAUGAGGAUCUUAUCGUCGCCUGGGAUGACAGCUGUGCAAACUGAAGCUAGACAACUUGAGAUAAACUUCAGAGGAACUGCCACGACAGCCCAUGUUCAGACGGUCUUCGUGCCUGUUGCUUUAUAUGGGCCUCUCAGAAAGAUCACCAGAGAUACUCGGACUGCAAACCAGGAAAAUCUGUCAGAUCGCCACUGCCAGCUCUCACUCCCUCUGAAGAUGCUUUGAGCCUGACAUCUAGAAAAUCUUCUCACUGGCCACACUCAGGACGCAGACACUGGGUUUAUAAUACGCUCCAACCAUUAACCUUUGUUUUUCUUUUGUUUCCGUACAGAUGCCUCUUAUUAAUUACCUGACUGCUUGCACAAUAUGGGCCUAAUUUGGGGAACCCCCUCGAAGACCACUUCCUGAAACGAGACACAAGUGUUUAACUGAAGUGACUUAUUUUCUUUUUUUAAUAGUUAUUUAUUUAUUUAUUUACUUAUUUAUUUAUUGAGAGGGAG
Long non-coding RNA from Leopardus geoffroyi (Geoffroy's cat), 711 nucleotides. RefSeq lists it as uncharacterized. NCBI's taxonomy places the organism in Eukaryota, Metazoa, Chordata, Mammalia, Carnivora, Felidae. The record is from RefSeq and is a predicted model, not a curated record. The transcript has 4 exons.